Molecule: long non-coding RNA, 325 nt
Organism: Ruditapes philippinarum (Manila clam)
Lineage: Eukaryota; Metazoa; Mollusca; Bivalvia; Venerida; Veneridae
Exons: 3
Source: RefSeq, a predicted model, not a curated record
AAUGCAUUUAUUUCAGGUGUGUGAUUACAGACUUGUGUGUGGUUUUGAUUGUGGCGCAGUCAGUUGUUUGCCGAGAAGCCUUGAAAACUGUGUAUUGCCCCCUUAAGAGCAAAAUUUGAUUUUUUGUGUGUGAUUACAGACUUGUGUGUGAGGUUUUGAUUGUGGCGCAGUCAGUUGUUUGCCGAGAAGCCUUGAAAACUGUGUAUUGCCCCCUUAAGAGCAAAAUUUGAUUUUUUGUGUGUGAUUACAGACUUGUGUGUGAGGUUUUGAUUGUGGCGCAGUCAGUUGUUUGCCGAGAAGCCUUGAAAACUGUGUAUUGCCCCCU